RNAcentral lists this ribosomal RNA (798 nucleotides) under Triticum aestivum (bread wheat). RNAcentral's name for it is "partial small subunit ribosomal RNA". Lineage: Eukaryota; Viridiplantae; Streptophyta; Magnoliopsida; Poales; Poaceae. The record is from RNAcentral.
AUGAAAAAAUGUGGGAUCCGCAAAUACCGUAUUAUGGAUAUUUUGUGCUUUCAAUACGGUGGAUUUGAUAAGGUUGGAUGCAUAAAGAGGGACAUUUAUAAUUUCUGCCAUGCUAAUAAGCAGGAGACAAUCAGUGCCGGUGAUGCUAAUACAGUGAUCAUGCACAUGAUGGCGAGGCGAGAGCGAGAUGUGGAUUUUUUCUUCAAGUACUUGGUAGACGAGCAUGGCCAUCUGAAGGGACUGUUCUGGGCUGAUAGUCAAUCACGGCUUGACUAUGAGGCUUUCGGAGACGUCAUUGUUUUCGAUAGCACAUACAGAACCAACAAAUACAAUCUGCCAUUCGUGCCGUUUGUCGGGUUGAAUCACCACCGCAACACUGUUAUUUUUGGCUGUGGUAUAAUUUCUCAUGAAACAAGCCAGGCAUACGAGUGGAUGUUGCGGGCCUUUUCUGAUUGCAUAGCACAGAAGCAUCCGAUAUCUGUGAUCACAGAUGGGGACCUUGCAAUGCAGAGAGCAAUAAGGGUGGUCUGGCCAGACUCAAACCAUAGACUAUGUAUAUGGCACAUUCAGCAGAACAUUGUACGCCAUCUGCAUGAUGACGACAUAAAGGAGGAAUUCAGAUCUUUCAUUUAUGAUACUUCUUCCAUUGAAGAGCAUGAGAUAAAAUGGAUACAAUUCUUACAACGGAAUAAAGUAACCAGUGAGGAGUCUUGGCUGUAUCAGAUGUAUCAGAUGAGAAAGUUGUGGUGUGCUCAAUAUCUUGAGGGGCGUUGUUUCCUAGGAUUGAGCAGCAAUUAG